RNAcentral lists this long non-coding RNA (3840 nucleotides) under Triticum aestivum (bread wheat). RNAcentral's name for it is "long non-coding RNA (TAES_LNC027060)". Lineage: Eukaryota; Viridiplantae; Streptophyta; Magnoliopsida; Poales; Poaceae. The record is from RNAcentral.
UAAAAAGAAACGGAGGGACUACGUAAAUUAAUUUGUGACGGGACUACUAAGCUCAUUUAUUAUCUCAAAAGCAAUCCUACUGAAAUAAAACAAUGAUAAUUAGCAGUUCUAUGCCUCUACUUUAGCUACUCUGUGUUCAUAUCCUUCCUUUGGACUGGGAACCCUCUAUUUCUAUCAUUCUAUUAGAUAACAAAUGAUGCAAGCGAAUUAAAAAUAGUAGUGGUUAUUGACGACAUCUUAAUUAAGUUGUACCUUAUAAGCUGAUUAAGUUAUAGUGGGCUACAGAGUUAUAUUGUUCAUCCAGGCAGCAAAUAUCUUCACAUAUUCUGUUAUAAUAGUUGUCACCAUGGAGACACCUGCAUUUAUAGUUGACAUAGCUAAUCCAUAUAACUAAAAAUAACUUUUAUAGCUUCCAUUAUAUUUUUGCAUAUGAAGACAACUGGCGUUUCACACUUUCAUAACACAUGAAGUACUACGACAUUACAAAGAACAUUAGAGCAGAUGUUAAAUCAAUUUCUUCUCAAAUUCAGAAUGAGGAUCGGGUGGUGGAUGCAUAAAUAGUUUUGACUAUUCGUCACCCUCGAUGAGGAAUAGUUAUUCUUCACCCCCUUUAUUUUAACAUCAAUGCACCAUAAUUUUACGUUUCAUAAAUUUUUGUCUUCUUUCAUACGUAAUAAGAGAACGUAAAAAAUAAUGUAAUCACUGUAAAAAAUAUUUUAUGUUACGUAAAAUUACACACGUAAAAAUAUAGUGUAAAAUAUACAUAAAAUGCAUUUUUUUCUGGUCAUAUGAUCUAUAUUUUUUUAUGCCAAAUUUUACGUAGUGAAUCGACAUGAAGGUAACUAUUUGUAUUCCAUAUGUAAUUUAUUUAUGAAGCGAUCGUAAGAUUACCUCGGACGAAGAGUAACUUAUUUUGCACCCUGGGUGAUGAAUAGUAACUAAUAUAUAUAUAUGGAGAGCUUCAAAUCUGGAGAGCUGGGAGAGUGAGCCUCUCGGGGAUUGGUAGGUCAGUGCCCCCAAACUGCAGCGACAGGAGGCAAGGGAGAUGCUCGGCAUGGAAGGGUGAGAUCUAGAAGAUGGAGAACCUGAUGAUGGUGGUGGCACCUAGAAAAAUAUAUGCAUCCGACACACUAUCAACUAUUUGCAAAUCAGACACAUGUCUGGAGUGAAUACAUCAAAUCCUUGUCAUUUUAAAUUAACCACAGAAUUGCCUCCAUUAUCAGUAAAAAUUCAACUACUCACCAUGGAGCUAGUACUCCGGCACCACAAUACUGUUGACAGCAUGCUUUAUUCGACAACUUGAUGCAUGAGCAGAAGUACCUAUUAGAUCUGAAAGAGCCUGAUUGGUCUAGCUGAACUAAUUCACUUAAUUAUAAGACAUGAUAUUUGAUUACUUAGAUGGCAGUGUUCCGAUAAUUUCUCAGUAAACCAAAGGGAUCAGUGAAUCGCACCAAACAUGGUAGAAACACAAAUACAAGUACCGUUCCACAUAUCUACUGGUAAAAAAAAACUGCAGAUUGAUGGAAGCACUUGUAAUCCAUAUAAUAGGCCCAUUCAUAUUACUGAUAUACUGAUGAUCUAAAGAAAUACAAGUACUGUUUCACAUAUCUGUUGGUAAAAAAAACUGCAGAUGGAUGCAUGGUAGCACUUGUAAUCCAUAUAACAGGCCCAUUCAUAAUUUCAUAUUACUGAUAUACUGAUGUGCUAAGGAAAUAUUCAUAGGCUGACACUACCAGGUUAAUAACUUAAUUGGUGAAGUGAUGUACAGAUCGAGCAGGAACACCCAAGAUCAAGCAGGAAGGCCUGGGAAACAAACAUGAAAAUAUAUCGACCGAAGGACCAAAGGCCGAGUAGGAAUUUCAUACUCAAUUGAACGCCCCAUGACCGAUCGAUGGACAUGAGGCUGCGGCCGCUGUCGUGUGCUCCUGCGUUCCCGGCGGCAUGGAGGAUAGCGUGUCCUUGGCACCGGUGGCAGCUCUGUGCGUACACGUCCUCAAUCUUGGCAGCCAAUAGAACACCUUAGGACCACGCGUGCAGAGGAGCCAAGUGGGCAGGUAGUGUCAUGGGACAGUGGCGACGACGGGGAUGAGUGGCGGCAGCGGAGCCAAGGAGCACACGGAGCCAAAAUAAGCUAGUCAGAUCAAUCUUUCCAAUACUACUCCUCAGCCAUUUCUUGCCCUAAUAUUAAAAUGUUUAAUGGAAAAGGAAUUCCUAUACCUGAGAAUUGCACAAGCAUUCCUGUACACCAGUCCAACCGGUACGGUUAGUGGAGGCCGAUUGUCCUUGUCUGGAUAGUCUCCUUCAUCACUGAACGAUCUUUGGCAAGACCAAGUUCUGAGCUCUGCAGUUUUACAUCCCUCCUCCUUUAAAUUAGGUGAGUUGCGCCCCGAGGUAGUAGCAUUGUCAUAGCUGCUUUCCUAGAAUACACAGAACAGAUCUAAGUAACUUGAUGAGUCCAGUUCACAACAUCGUGUAACACCCGUAUGUUAAGUUAACCAUGCUCUAUACAAAAAGAAGUGUGACAUAGCUGUUUGGAAACAUACUUCAGAAACUCUACUUUUCUGAAGAUUGAAGCCCCAUUGACAACUCUAGAUCACACACACAUAACAGGCAUAUAUGUAGGGAUCUCGGUUUAAAGUUUCAACUUUGCAACUAUACAUUGUAAAAAUUAUGUUCGAUCCCCAAAUUCUGUUUGUGAUAUGCGUGCAGGGGUGAUCAACACUGUUCUAUGGACACCAUGGCGAACUAACCUUGUGAAGGAAUUUGAUAAUGGAGCAGAAGGGCAAGUACUGGCAGAUUUAGAUCGAAUCGUCAGUUCCGCACCAGCUGCGGCCACUGAUGGAGAAGUUCGAGCUCUCCGAGUGAAACUCAUAUUCGGCUGUCCCGCGACAUUUGCCCGUGCGUUGAUCACCCGCUAAGAGCAAGAACAUGAUGAGAAAUUAUGAGUAAUUUCUAAGUAGUAAAUUUAUACAAGGAUCAAUAUCUAUACUUUGGAAAGAUUACUUAAGAGUCUGUUGGAUGAAUUCUACUGAACAUCUAUGAUGAAAUACAUCAUUAGUCACACGUACAAUUCCGAAGAUGAAAUAUAUGAAGUAUUAGUACUGCGAGCCAAAAAUUAUAGGAAAGCAAUUCAAAAUAUUAGGGGUAAUGAAAGCUUCCAUUUUCUAAAUAACCUCGUAGGGGGGAUAUCUUGGUAGUUUACGAUAUAUAUGUGGCAAGAACUGCGUGUUUAACAUGAAAUCACCUAUCAGCAGUUGCCUGGUGAUGAUAGAAAAAUCUGAUCAUUUCAGCGAUGUUAAUUUGUCAAGAUUUAUACGACAUCAUGCUGAAUUUUGCAUAACUUAUGAAAACUUAUGAACAAUUGCCACUGUUCUUUAUGCUGUCAUUUUCAUAUUAGUGAACUAAAAAUAAUAGCAUAUCAUCUGCUAUUAUUAUGCUUUAACAUGAACUAUUCACGUUUAAAUUGGCAAAACCAAACAUAAAUUAGAUUAGCGAAAACAUUGCAAAAGCCUGUAACUGGAGAGAAUUAAUAGACACGUACAAUAUGUUUUCUUAUUAGAUUAGCAAAAACAAUUGCUGAGCAUGUUUUCUUAUUCNNNNNNNNNNAGCCAAAAUAAGCUAGUCAGAUCAAUCUUUCCAAUACUACUCCUCAGCCAUUUCUUGCCCUAAUAUUAAAAUGUUUAAUGGAAAAGGAAUUCCUAUACCUGAGAAUUGCACAAGCAUUCCUGUACACCAGUCCAACCGGUACGGUUAGUGGAGGCCGAUUGUCCUUGUCUGGAUAGUCUCCUUCAUCACUGAACGAUCUUUGGCAAGACCAAGUUCUGAGCUCUGCAGUUUUAC